Molecule: ribosomal RNA, 254 nt
Filed under: uncultured bacterium
Lineage: Bacteria
Description: partial 16S ribosomal RNA
Rfam family: Bacterial small subunit ribosomal RNA
Source: RNAcentral
UACGUAGGGGGGCAAGCGGUGUCCGGAAUUAAUGGGCGUAAAGCGCGCGUAGGCGGUGCUAUAAGUUGGAUGUGAAAGGCUACGGCUCAACCGUAGAGCUGCAUCCAAAACUGUAGCACUUGAGUGCAGGAGAGGAGAGUGGAAUUCCCGGUGUAGCGGUGGAAUGCGUAGAGAUCGGGAGGAACACCAGUGGCGAAGGCGACUCUCUGGCCUGCAACUGACGCUGAGGCGCGAAAGCGUGGGGAGCAAACAGG